UAGUAGAUCCACCUUCUGGAGCCCAUUGCCGACUCAUGACAGGUCAUGGUCGACCAUCGCUCGGUGUUUCCUGUGCAUAUUAGCGAAGUCUCCUCGUUGGUUGAUCCUGUUGGUCGACCCGCUUCGCAUCUACAGAUAGAUUCUAGCCUCAGACGUCCUUAUCCAGUAGCACUUUAAGACGAUCGAUCCUUGAUCGUCGCUGACCAAUUCUUGUCUUGACAACACCC
Molecule: long non-coding RNA, 227 nt
Filed under: Elaeis guineensis (African oil palm)
Lineage: Eukaryota; Viridiplantae; Streptophyta; Magnoliopsida; Arecales; Arecaceae
Description: long non-coding RNA (EGUI_LNC027571)
Source: RNAcentral